AUGCAGUCCAUGGGCAUAUACA
Molecule: microRNA, 22 nt
Filed under: Callorhinchus milii (elephant shark)
Lineage: Eukaryota; Metazoa; Chordata; Chondrichthyes; Chimaeriformes; Callorhinchidae
Also listed under: 33 other names
Description: Cmi-Mir-455-v1_3p* (star (passenger))
Source: RNAcentral